GCUGGCGGCGUGCUUAACACAUGCAAGUCGAGCGGAAAGGCCCUUUCGGGGGUACUCGAGCGGCGAACGGGUGAGUAACACGUGAGUAAUCUGCCCUGCGCUCUGGGAUAGCCACCGGAAACGGUGAUUAAUACCGGAUAGGACCACUUCACGCAUGUGAUGGUGGUGGAAAGUUUUUUCGGCGCAGGAUGUGCUCGCGGCCUAUCAGCUUGUUGGUGAGGUAACGGCUCACCAAGGCUUUGACGGGUAACCGGCCUGAGAGGGUGACCGGUCACACUGGGACUGAGACACGGCCCAGACUCCUACGGGAGGCAGCAGUGGGGAAUAUUGGACAAUGGGCGGAAGCCUGAUCCAGCAACGCCGCGUGAGGGAUGACGGCCUUCGGGUUGUAAACCUCUUUCAGUACCGACGAAGCGAAAGUGACGGUAGGUACAGAAGAAGGACCGGCCAACUACGUGCCAGCAGCCGCGGUAAUACGUAGGGUCCGAGCGUUGUCCGGAAUUAUUGGGCGUAAAGGGCUCGUAGGCGGUUUGUCGCGUCGGGAGUGAAAACACCGGGCUUAACUCGGUGCUUGCUUUCGAUACGGGCAGACUAGAGGUAUGCAGGGGAGAAUGGAAUUCCUGGUGUAGCGGUGAAAUGCGCAGAUAUCAGGAGGAACACCGGUGGCGAAGGCGGUUCUCUGGGCAUUACCUGACGCUGAGGAGCGA
This 707-nucleotide ribosomal RNA is filed under the name uncultured Actinomycetes bacterium. RNAcentral describes it as "bacterial SSU rRNA". It matches the Rfam family "Bacterial small subunit ribosomal RNA", at positions 35 to 756 of the family's 1533-position model. Lineage: Bacteria; Bacillati; Actinomycetota; Actinomycetes. The record is from RNAcentral.